UACUAAAGUAAUUGUGCAAAAACGAAGAAAAAUGCUUAUUUGGGACCUGUUUUUGGCCCCUAAUUCCUAAACUGUUGGGACCAAAACACCCAAAAUCAAUCCUAACCUUCCUUUUAUGGUCAUACACCUUGUGUUUAAAUUUCAUAGAUUUCUAUUUACUUUUACUAAAGUUAGAGUGCGAAAACAAAAUGUCUUCGGACGACGACGACGACGCCAACG
This 219-nucleotide long non-coding RNA is filed under the name Mytilus galloprovincialis (Mediterranean mussel). Lineage: Eukaryota; Metazoa; Mollusca; Bivalvia; Mytilida; Mytilidae. The record is from RNAcentral.